AAUAGAUACCCCGGUAGUCCUGGCCGUAAACGAUGACCACCAGGUGUGGGAGGUAUCGACCCCUUCUGUGCCAAAGGGAACCCAUUAAGUGGUCCGCCUGGGGAGUACGGUCGCAAGAUUAAAACUCAAAGGAAUUGACGGGGACCCGCACAAGCAGCGGAGCGUGUGGUUUAAUUCGAUGCGACGCGAAGAACCUUACCAGGGUUUGACAUGCAGCUGCACCUCCUGGAGACAGGAGUCCCUUCGGGGCGGCUGCACAGGUGCUGCAUGGCUGCCGUCAGCUCGUGCCGUGAGGUGUUGGGUUAAGUCCCGCAACGAGCGCAACCCCUGUCGUCGGUUAAGCUGUCCGGCGAGACUGCCACGCUAAACGUGGAGGAAGUGGGGAUGACGUCAAGUCAGCACGGCCCUUAGUCCUGGGGCGACACACACGCUACAAUGGGCGAGACAACGGGUAGCCAACCGCGAGGGGAGCUAAUCCUAGCAAACUCGCUCUCAGUUCGGAUGGCAGGCGUGCGAACCCGCCUGCCUGAAGCUGGU
RNAcentral lists this ribosomal RNA (537 nucleotides) under uncultured bacterium. Its description in RNAcentral is "bacterial SSU rRNA". It matches the Rfam family "Bacterial small subunit ribosomal RNA", at positions 777 to 1330 of the family's 1533-position model. The record is from RNAcentral.